AAAAAAACAGAAGAUCUCCGGGUACAGGUCAAGGGUAACACCAGUCAAAAUGUCAGUAUCUAACUUCUUUACUUAUAAAUUUUGUUUUUCUUAACUAAACUUUCCUUUUAUUUUAGAGUUUUCAUUCAAGUUAUCAUUUAAAAGAUCAUUUUUUUCUAUCUUAGUGCCGUGAAGUUAUUGUCGAAUAUUUCAGAAAUACAAAAUUUUAAUAUGAAACUUCCUUAGUCCAGUUUAGCACCAUGCCUUUUAUUAAAAUAGACUCUAAAAAUUCAAUUAAAUCAUUAUUUAUAGAUACUUAGUUAUCAAAAGAGAUAGUUUUACAUUCAGAAAACUCAAAGUAAAUAAAGUGAAGAUUUAUAUUUCCACUGAUGAUUUUAAACACUAGUACAGAAAUUUUCUAGGCAUUAAUUGAACUGCUGCUCUUUACAGUGUUUUAUUUGGCAUAGGUAUUCUGAAUACAGGAGAAAUUUGGCUGUAUUCUGUUAUCCUAAUGCUCAUACUUUAGAGCUGUCCAGGAAUAAAUUAGAGGAUUUAAUUUGUGUUAUACUUGCAUAUUAUUUUGUUAGUAAUGUAAAGUUUUAAUAAAAAGUCACUGAUUGUGUAGUCAACAAUAAAAAUGAAGUUUUAGUUGAGAAAAAGCAACACUUUAUGUAAGCAGAUUUCCCUUGAAGAACUCCUAUUUAGUUAAGUGAAACUGUGUGCAAUGAAUUUCAGCUGUAUUUAGGAAUAAAAUAUUAGCUAAGUACUUAUGUAAUUUUUGAGUUACUGUAAAGCCUGAAAACUUAAAACAGUGAUUAUAAAGAUACUUUUAAGAUAAAAAUUAACGUUUUUCUGCAAAUUGUUAUUUUCAGGAACAAAUUAAGUAUAAAUUAAAUUACUAAAUGAAAUUUGUUUAAUUUGUUGACUUUUUAAAUGCAAGUGGACCGUAUUUCCUGUCAUUUUCAAUAAUUUCCUAAAACAGUGACAGGAUUAUAAGUGUAGUUUCCCUUUAAUUCUCACAUCUUUGAGUAGACAGAAAACAUACAGGUUAAAAAUAUACCCAUGUCAGUAUUAAAGCUUUAUGCUAACUAAUG
RNAcentral lists this long non-coding RNA (1073 nucleotides) under Bos taurus (domestic cattle). RNAcentral's name for it is "long non-coding RNA NONBTAT018623". Lineage: Eukaryota; Metazoa; Chordata; Mammalia; Artiodactyla; Bovidae. The record is from RNAcentral.